CAGUGCUGAAGUGAGCAUCACUUACUGGCUCUGGUCAUAUUCCUGCACGAUUCAUGGGUUUCCCAGCGGGCUGGGAGGAAGAAGAGUUUUCUCUCUCCUUUGCUGGUAGCUUCCUCUCAAGAAUCCUCCCCUUGGACUGGAUCAGUUCGCUGGAGCCUCCCUCCUGGUGGCAGGAGUCUUUUUGCACCAAAGCCUGGAAUUUCCUGAAAGACCCAUUAACUCUUUACUAGGAAGCAUCAACAGAUAAUUCAUGCUUGAGGUCCCAGAGGUUGGGGAAUGUUUUGGAGAUACGUUUUUGACUGGAGUUCCACUCUGACCUUUCUUGCCGAAUGAAACUUCAGCUACACCUAGAGCGAGCUGAUGAAAAUCGGGAGGAAAGGGGGCGAAGGAAGAACCCAACUCACUGACUCAGUUCUAACUCUCACCACUUAAUCACUUCCAGUAGCAAUUGAAGUUUCAAUGCAAAUACCCCCAAGCAGCCGGCUUUGGUAUUUCCAGGCCCCACGUGAAGGUCUUCAAAUUGCUCAGACUGGAGUUUGUUCCCUCUUUAAAGAAAAACCCUUCUUUCUGGAAGUGACUUGGUACAUGUACCUAUAAAGGAAAUUCAUCCUGAGGCUGAGGCAGGCAGAAGGAAUCAAGGAACUCAAUUCAAGGAAGUUGCCGACGUGACUUUUAUUUCCCUCUUCUGUCACUUCCCUCUUUCCCAAGGCUUCCUCACUUCUACCUGUCCUGACAGGACCUUUAGAGUCUUGGAGGAAAUCAAAGUGUCUUAAAGGCUCCUGGUCUGCUGAACUGUUUUCUUUGAAAAUUUUGGUUCUUGUUUGCUUAGAAAUUCGAGGAAGACUUUCUCUAGACUAGAAUGUUUGGGUUCUAAAGUUUUUCUUUAGGGAACUCCAGGCUUCAGCCACCCAAACCAACGGCACAAAGGAAAACGAGUAGGUGUAAAAGAAAAAGAAAAAAAAAGAGAUGAAGAAUUGGAAGGAAAUCCAGAGGGUAAGAAACUGGGGCCAGCUACCUCCUGAUGUAUGCAGACAAUGGAAUCCACUCUGAAAGCUGAAUGAAGUCUGGAGAGCUGGGAGGCUGGGCCCAAGUGGGUCAGAAAAGGCCCCUCUGCUCCGUGAGCAUGGAAGGUGAUGCCUCUUCACAAAAGCAAGACCCCAAGAAGGCUGCACAAGAGUGGUCCACAUCCCUUUGUCCUGUUUCUCCAGCCCACCAGUACACAACUGGAGUGAUUUGUACAUUCGACACUAUUCCAGAGGGGAAAAGAGGCACAUCUGACUGAGACGUACUAAGGGCAUCAUUCCCAAAUGGGGAGCCAAUUUCCAACCUUUGUCCUUUGGGAUCAGAGAUGGAUCUUUCUCCCUCAAGCCCUCUUAUCUCUUCUCUGUGUUGGCAGAGGCACUGAACCUAACUGGCAUCCACGUGUUAGAUCAUGUAACACCUGUGUUCAGGUGCCCCGGGAUGGACAAAGAAUUUCAGUGAGGGGCCUGGAGCACCGGAGCGAAGACAGGACAGUAGAGGGGCCACCACAGUGCUCAGCUCUAGAUGACUGUGGCUGCUGGAGGGGGACAGAGCUGGCUUUGACCAGACAGUUCAGUUGAUAGUGAUACUCUUUGCAUAUGAAAGAUCCAUGAGGUGUUGGCUCCUUUUUUUGGUCUGAGAGGAAGGUGAACAUCUUAUUCUCUUUGACAUUUUUUUGUAGGUCAGGAAAGGAAUAAUAUAAUAGUAAUGUUUUCCUAGGUGUGAGCCGGAGAACAUGAGGUGUAUUGAUACACCAUUCUGUACUUUAUAGAGCGCCAAAAACUUUCCUUUACUCCUCUAUCUAGGCAAGAGAUGUAUUUUACAGAUAAAAACUUUGAAAGCAUCUACACCCAAACUUCACAAGUUUCCGAUUUCUUGUGAAAUCACUUGCUUCUCUAGAAUCAUUCAGUAGCAUUAGAUAGGGCUGAUGAAAAGGCUCUUCCAGUCUUUAUAAUCAAUUUGGUACUGCCACUAGGAACAAAACAGGCUGCUUUGCAGGUGGAUGGCAUUUCAAAAAUGUUAGCCACCUGAAGGCAAGCGUGUAUUCGCUAAGCUAACCACCUGCCUGUCCUGCAAGGUGAUCCUGACCAGGACAUUCUUUCUGGUCUUGUUCCUUCCCGUGUGAAAUACAGGAUGUUGUGCAACAGUUUGCAUUUUUCUUUAGCACUCUGUGCCUGGCACUCUGCUGUGCUUGUUACGUGGAUUGUCUUGUACAAUUUACCAAUGGCCGAGUUUUAUCAUCAGGGAAACAAAGGUGCAGAGGUGGGCACCUGCUAACACAUUAGUGGGGGGUCCUGUUCCCCAGCCCAUGUCCUCAGGAACUUCUAGUAUCAAAAUAUGAGUACAACUAACUCCUCUUGGCUAAAGCUUCCUAAAGCAGAAGUAAGGUCCUGGCUGAAUUUAAACCAGGAAGAUGAAAGCAAGCGACAAUGAAGAGCCUUCCAGCUGUAGGCCAACCAACUUGCUGCCACCCCAAGCCUGAAACUGGUGUUUCCUAUCACCUUGCAACAGCCUCCCCUCCCACGCACUGGGCCUGGGGCUGCCUGCAAAGCCUGGCCGGGAGGCUGGUGUAGACGGUGUGAGAAGCUGUUCUCUGAAAGAGUUCCGUGGUUGGCUGUGGUAAAUGCUCCCACACAAUUCUCCACCUCCACCUCCACUUGGGGUUCGAAUGACUCUCAGUGUAGGAGUCCCACAGCUGCCCGAAGAAGACAGUGAUCAGAAUUCUGUUUGUAAAAAUCCAUUUAAUAAAUAUACAUCUUAGAAGUACCAAAAUAAUUACCAACAAAAUACAUUAUGUACAGUAUUUACAGCAGGGUAACACAAACCUUGACAGGUCGUGACUUUUAACCCCACCCCACUGACAGGUUUAACAACACACCUGAUUCUAACAUUUCCCAGAUACACCUGGGCUCCACCACGGACUCCAUGGUGGUUCAACCAAGAAGCGCAAUAAAUAAAAGAGUCCCAUCAAAUUAGGGAUAACCUUUCCCCCAGGCCCCACCAAGGUGCCGUUUAAAAGAGGUUCUCUCUGCAUUCCGAUGAUCCUCCUUGGCGCCUUUCCAAAGUUCACAAGAAUAACAAAAUCGGGGCUAAUCCACCAGAGCAAAAUGUUUCAGGCCAGGCAGUGUGCGGUGUGGUUAUAAGUAUACCCUUUUUUCUUUUUUUUUCUUUUUUUCUUUUUUUUUAGAAAAAUAAAACUCUUGAUUUUGUAC
Molecule: long non-coding RNA, 3233 nt
Filed under: Sus scrofa (pig)
Lineage: Eukaryota; Metazoa; Chordata; Mammalia; Artiodactyla; Suidae
Description: lncRNA (ENSSSCG00005037220.1)
Source: RNAcentral